RNAcentral lists this ribosomal RNA (460 nucleotides) under uncultured bacterium. RNAcentral describes it as "partial 16S ribosomal RNA". It matches the Rfam family "Bacterial small subunit ribosomal RNA", at positions 338 to 795 of the family's 1533-position model. The record is from RNAcentral.
CCUACGGGAGGCAGCAGUGAGGAAUAUUGGUCAAUGGACGGAAGUCUGAACCAGCCAUGCCGCGUGCAGGAAGACGGCCCUAUGAGUUGUAAACUGCUUUUGUACAAGGGUAAACCUGAAUACGUGUAUUCAGCUGAAAGUACUGUACGAAUAAGGAUCGGCUAAAUCCGUGCCAGCAGCCGCGGUAAUACGGAGGAUCCAAGCGUUAUCCGGAUUUAUUGGGGUUAAAAGGUGCGUAGGCGGAUUGAUAAGUUAGAGGUGAAAUGUGCGGGCUUAACUCGGGAACUGCCUCUAAUACUGUUUAUCUAGAGAGUAGAUGCGGUAGGCGGAAUGUAUGGUGUAGCGGUGAAAUGCUUAGAGAUCAUCCAGAACACCGAUUGCGAAGGCAGCUUACCAAUCUAUAUCUGACGUUGAGGCACGAAAGCGUGGGGAGCAAACAGGAUUAGAUACCCUAGUAGUC